AUGAAGCUCAACUCUAGCGCAAAAGAACUCUUCCAUUCUCCACAAUGUCUGGGUCAGAUCUACACACUAAACCCAUUACGAUGCUCUGCAGAACCAAAGGUUUUCUAUUCCACAAGCUCUACACUUCUUAGAAGGAUGUUAGUGAGUUGAAGGGAGAGGAAGAGAG
Molecule: non-coding RNA, 166 nt
Organism: Miniopterus natalensis
Lineage: Eukaryota; Metazoa; Chordata; Mammalia; Chiroptera; Miniopteridae
Source: RefSeq, a predicted model, not a curated record